UGAAACUGUUGGUAUGUAUUGGAAGGGA
RNAcentral lists this non-coding RNA (28 nucleotides) under Mus musculus (house mouse). Lineage: Eukaryota; Metazoa; Chordata; Mammalia; Rodentia; Muridae. The record is from RNAcentral.